UUUGUACUAGGAUCAGUUACGAAAGUAAGGCCUAACGAUCCCUAAAUAGCCUCAGGUGCGUGAGGAUUGGGGUGACAGACAAGUUACCUCCGGGACAACUGGCUUGUGGCUGCUAAGAGAUCAAAUCAACGCAGCUUUUUGAUUCUUCGAUGUCGGCUCUUCCUAUCCUAGUGAUGUACAAGUUGCUAAGGGUCGGAUUGUUCACCCGUAUUAGGGAUCGUGAGCUGGGUUUAGACCGUCGUGAGCCAGGUUUGUUUUAUCCUACUGGAUAUAGCAUCAUGAUAGUAGAUUGAUUUAGUACGAGAGGAACUGUUGAUUAUGGCCUCUGGUUAGCGAUUAUCGGAAACGGUAUGUCGCGCAGCUACUCCGUCUGGGAUAAUGGCUGAAAGCCUCUUAAGCCAGAAGCCCAUCUAGAAAGUGAUGCACGUGAUGUUGGACCGAUACGAAUAAUCAUACUCAAAAGGUCCGCUUCAUAGGUAACCCAAUGUAGAAGACAUUGUGUGAACGAAGGUACUGUAAGCAGUGGAGUGGCAUUACGUCCACGA
RNAcentral lists this non-coding RNA (545 nucleotides) under Trichomonas vaginalis G3. RNAcentral's name for it is "Eukaryotic large subunit ribosomal RNA". It matches the Rfam family "Eukaryotic large subunit ribosomal RNA", at positions 2734 to 3366 of the family's 3401-position model. Lineage: Eukaryota; Parabasalia; Trichomonadida; Trichomonadidae. The record is from Rfam by way of RNAcentral.